RNAcentral lists this ribosomal RNA (450 nucleotides) under uncultured bacterium. RNAcentral describes it as "partial 16S ribosomal RNA". It matches the Rfam family "Bacterial small subunit ribosomal RNA", at positions 354 to 796 of the family's 1533-position model. The record is from RNAcentral.
GUGGGGAAUAUUGGACAAUGGGCGAAAGCCUGAUCCAGCCAUGCCGCGUGUGUGAAGAAGGUCUUCGGAUUGUAAAGCACUUUAAGUUGGGAGGAAGGGCAGUAAGUUAAUACCUUGCUGUUUUGGCGUUACCAACAGAAUAAGCACCGGCUAACUUCGUGCCAGCAGCCGCGGUAAUACGAAGGGUGCAAGCGUUAAUCGGAAUUACUGGGCGUAAAGCGCGCGUAGGUGGUUCAGCAAGUUGGAGGUGAAAUCCCCGGGCUCAACCUGGGAACUGCCUCCAAAACUACUGAGCUAGAGUACGGUAGAGGGUAGUGGAAUUUCCUGUGUAGCGGUGAAAUGCGUAGAUAUAGGAAGGAACACCAGUGGCGAAGGCGACUACCUGGACUGAUACUGACACUGAGGUGCGAAAGCGUGGGGAGCAAACAGGAUUAGAAACCCCAGUAGUCC